This 537-nucleotide ribosomal RNA is filed under the name uncultured Verrucomicrobiota bacterium. RNAcentral's name for it is "bacterial SSU rRNA". It matches the Rfam family "Bacterial small subunit ribosomal RNA", at positions 8 to 522 of the family's 1533-position model. The record is from RNAcentral. Lineage: Bacteria; Pseudomonadati; Verrucomicrobiota.
AGAGUUUGAUCAUGGCUCAGAACGAACGCUGGCGGCGUGGAUAAGACAUGCAAGUCGAACGAGAUUUUUCGUUGUAGCAAUACGAUGGAGAAAUUUAGUGGCGAACGGGUGCUUAACACGUGGGCAACCUGCCAUGAAGUGGGGGAUAGCUCGCCGAAAGGCGAAUUAAUACCGCAUGUGAUUAGAGAGGACAUCCUUUCGAAAUUAAAGUCGGGGCAACCUGACGCUUCUUGUGGGGCCCGCGGCCUAUCAGCUAGUUGGUGAGGUAACGGCUCACCAAGGCUUUGACGGGUAGCUGGUCUGAGAGGACGACCAGCCACACUGGGACUGAGACACGGCCCAGACACCUACGGGUGGCAGCAGUCGAGAAUUUUUGACAAUGGGGGAAACCCUGAUCGAGCGACGCCGCGUGGAGGAUGAAGGUCUUCGGAUUGUAAACUCCUGUCAUUUGGGAACAAGGUGCACACGUUAACUGCGUGCGUAUUGAUAGUACCAGAAGAGGAAGAGACGGCUAACUCUGUGCCAGCAGCCGCGGUA